CCUCGGGGGGCAACAGUGGGGAAUAUUGCACAAUGGGGGAAACCCUGAUGCAGCAACGCCGCGUGGGUGAAGGAGCGUUUCGGCGCGUAAAGCCCUGUCAGCGGGGAAGAAGAAAGACGGUACCCGACCAAGAAGCCCCGGCUAACUACGUGCCAGCAGCCGCGGUAAUACGUAGGGGGCGAGCGUUAUCCGGAAUUACUGGGUGUAAAGGGAGCGUAGGCGGGGAUGCAAGUUGGGUGUCAAAACUACCGGCGCAACUGGUAGUCGCACUCAAAACUGCAGCUAUUGAGUGAAGUAGAGGUAGGCGGAAUUCCUAGUGUAGCGGUGAAAUGCGUAGAUAUUAGGAGGAACACCAGUGGCGAAGGCGGCCUGCUGGGCUUUUACUGACGCUGAGGCUCGAAAGUGUGGGGAGCAAACAGGAUUAGAUACCCUAGUAGUC
RNAcentral lists this ribosomal RNA (439 nucleotides) under uncultured bacterium. RNAcentral describes it as "partial 16S ribosomal RNA". It matches the Rfam family "Bacterial small subunit ribosomal RNA", at positions 339 to 795 of the family's 1533-position model. The record is from RNAcentral.